AGAGUACGUGAAACCGUUUAGGGGUAAACCUGAGAAACCCGAAAGGUCGAAGGGAGAAAUUCAUUCGCGUCUCGACGCAGGCGUCGGACGGGGUCAGAGCGACGGAACGGGCGCGCGUUUUUCUUCGGAAUCGCGCGUUCGAUUUUGCGCCCUCCGUCCUUCGAACCGGCUGCGAACGCGUGCACUUUUCUCCUGGUAGGACGUCGCGAUCCGUCGGGCGUCGGUCUACGACUUGCGGCGGAGACCGUCCGUCGUUCUCGCGAACGUACGGCGCGGACCCGCUCGUUCCGGCCGACUCGCUCGACGGUAAGCUCGAGGUCUGGGGUCGCUACGAUAUAUCUAUACCGUAGAGCGUUCGACUCGUCGCAAGCGCGUCACGUGCGUCGGCACGCGGACCCGGUGCCGCGUCCGAUCUCUGGCGACUGUUGGCGACGAAGUUCUCGGACAGACUUCCAUAAAAAAGGGGGGCGGGGAGGAGAAGAAGGGGGGGUUCGCGCUUCCUUCUCGCUCUCUCUCUGUCUCUCGAAGACCGAUCGGCGACGCUAUAGCUUUGGGUACUUUCAGGACCCGUCUUGAAACACGGACCAAGGAGUCUAGCAUGUACGCGAGUCAUUGGGAUUUUUACUAAACCUAAAGGCGCAAUGAAAGUGAAGGUUUUCCUCGCGAAGACCGUGGGAAGACGGACGGGCGGGCGCGCGGCGCGUACUUCGGUGCGCGUCGCGGUACCGAAACGAUCGCCCGUCCCGCAUUCCCGGGGCGUCUCGUUCGCAUCGCGCGAAGAGGCGCACCGCGAGCGUACACGCUGGGACCCGAAAGAUGGUGAACUAUGCCUGGUCAGGACGAAGUCAGGGGAAACCCUGAUGGAGGUCCGUAGCGAUUCUGACGUGCAAAUCGAUCGUCGGAACUGGGUAUAGGGGCGAA
This 921-nucleotide ribosomal RNA is filed under the name Euwallacea sp. 4 KO-2014. Its description in RNAcentral is "eukaryotic LSU rRNA". It matches the Rfam family "Eukaryotic large subunit ribosomal RNA", at positions 392 to 927 of the family's 3401-position model. The record is from RNAcentral. Lineage: Eukaryota; Metazoa; Arthropoda; Insecta; Coleoptera; Curculionidae.